CGCUCCAGCGGGCCGAGCGCGUGCGGCCGCCGAGCACAUGGGCCCGCGGGCCGGGCGGACUCCAGGCGGCCGGGACCCGGAGGACCAGCGAGGGGCCGCGAGCGAGGAUGGGCCCCGGCACGCGCCCGGAGCCCCCUGAGUGGAUUUCCACGCCGAAAGGCUGUUGGCGGCCCCGGUGACCUGCGGAGACGCGGUUGGAUCCACCUUCCAGCCUUGAUCUUUUGACCAGAAAGGAAUUAAAAAGAUGGUCCCUCGUGAUGGCUGCGCCUGUCAGCCGCGUGGAGCUUCCUUGAAGGAUUUUCUGAGCCGUGUGGAUGUACAGUGAUUCUCGGCGCCUGAGGAGUAACGCUGGUGGAAGCGCUCUCUCCAGUGACGCACACCCGCCCCAUUUCUGGAUGCUAAAGGUGGUUUUAGGAAGGCCCUGGCUGAGUGCCUCGCGGAUUCCUGCAGCCUGGACGCCCCUGGUGGACGGAGGACUGAAGCUUCCUGCCCUUGCUGCCGACAAGGAGUGUUCGGCUGGGGCUCUGCCAGCUCCCUUGGGGGUUCCCUGUGAAACCAUCCUGUUCCACCUGGGAUUUAGGUGCCUUUAAUUUGGAAAAAAAAAAAAAAUACGUAUCCAUUCAAUACUCCAGAGGGACUUGAAAACUGUUCUUCCCUGAACUAAAGCUGGAAUAUCAAGGGAUGUGAAGAAUCAAGGCCGGGCUGAGGUUUCAGAGGCGUUCCGAGCUCCUGUGGAGACUUGCUUCUCUCCAGCCUUGGGCUCUCUGCACUCUUGGACAUCUCAGGGCCCAGAAGAAAAAGAAGAAAGCCAACCAGUUCUGGGAGCAGCCUGGGUGAAGAGAGAUAAAGAAACAAAAGUUCAAGGAGGUGAGCAGGGCACUUAAGUACCAAAUGGAAGUUUUAUGCCAGAUCCCAGUUUCAACCACUGAAAGCCAGUUCCUUUCUCCAUCCUUAAUAUCUCUUCAUUUGAGCAUCAUCUCCCGGCAGGGUCACCGUAACUGUUCUCUCUUUGGUCCCUCUGCCUCCAUUUUGGACACUGCAGAUAUCAUGAAAAGAAGCCCACACUAGCCUACUGGAGGCCUCCUGGAGAGAAAGACCCAACCACCAGCCAACAGCAACCACCAGGUACCUGAGUGAGACCAUCUGGGACCAGCCAGCCCCCAGAUGGCUCAUCUGGGGAGAAGCAAACUGUGUAUUGUGAGCAGACCUAUCGAGAAAUCCAUGUGGUUAAGUAACUGAUGGCUCUGAUCCAUAGCCAGCAAAGACCUGAGACCUGCCAAUAGCCAGAUGGAAGCAUCUGUGGAAAGAGAGCAGGGGAGCCAGGAGACCUGAGUUGCUGGAUCGUAAUUCUGCUAAUCCCAGGGGAUUCCUCUCCAGAGGCUUGUGACACUGCUUCAGGAAGACUUCCCCAACACCUGAAGAAUUUCUGUGUUCCUUUUCCCAGUCUGGGAUGUCUACUUACCAUAUUGCCAGCUUCUGGACCUGUUGUAUCUGGGAUGCAGGCGGAACC
Long non-coding RNA from Balaenoptera ricei (Rice's whale), 1510 nucleotides. RefSeq lists it as uncharacterized. The record is from RefSeq and is a predicted model, not a curated record. The transcript has 9 exons. Lineage: Eukaryota; Metazoa; Chordata; Mammalia; Artiodactyla; Balaenopteridae.